RNAcentral lists this ribosomal RNA (1213 nucleotides) under Clostridiales bacterium 65-2a. Its description in RNAcentral is "bacterial SSU rRNA". It matches the Rfam family "Bacterial small subunit ribosomal RNA", at positions 170 to 1382 of the family's 1533-position model. The record is from RNAcentral. Lineage: Bacteria; Bacillati; Bacillota; Clostridia; Eubacteriales.
CGGAUAGGUAGAGAGAUCGCAUGAACUCUCUAUUAAAGGGGCUACGGCCCUGAACAUGGAUGGACCUGCGGUGCAUUAGCUAGUUGGUGAGGUAACGGCCUACCAAGGCGACGAUGCAUAGCCGACCUGAGAGGGCGAACGGCCACAUUGGGACUGAGACACGGCCCAAACUCCUACGGGAGGCAGCAGUAGGGAAUUUUCGUCAAUGGGGGGAACCCUGAACGAGCAAUGCCGCGUGAGUGAAGACGGUCUUCGGACUUGUAAAGCUCUGUUGCGAGAGAAAAACGACACGGAUAGGGAAUGAUCCGUGGGUGAUGGUAUCUCGCCAGAAAGUCACGGCUAACUACGUGCCAGCAGCCGCGGUAAUACGUAGGUGGCGAGCGUUAUCCGGAAUGAUUGGGCGUAAAGGGUGCGUAGGCGGCCCGUUAAGUCUGGAGUCAAAGCCGGCAGCUCAACUGUCGUACGCUUUGGAAACUGGCGGGCUGGAGUGCAGAAGAGGGCGAUGGAACUCCAUGUGUAGCGGUAAAAUGCGUAGAUAUAUGGAAGAACACCAGUGGCGAAGGCGGUCGCCUGGUCUGCAACUGACGCUGAAGCACGAAAGCGUGGGGAGCAAAUAGGAUUAGAUACCCUAGUAGUCCACGCCGUAAACGAUGAGAACUAAGUGUUGGGGGAAUAACUCAGUGCUGCAGUUAACGCAAUAAGUUCUCCGCCUGGGGAGUAUGCACGCAAGUGUGAAACUCAAAGGAAUUGACGGGGGCCCGCACAAGCGGUGGAGUAUGUGGUUUAAUUCGAAGCAACGCGAAGAACCUUACCAGGCCUUGACAUCCCGGGCAAGGGCGUAGAGAUACGCCGGAGGCUAUCCCGGUGACAGGUGGUGCAUGGUGUCGUCAGCUCGUGUCGUGAGAUGUUGGGUUAAGUCCCGCAACGAGCGCAACCCUUGUGAUAUGUUACUACCAGUAAGAUGAGGACUCAUAUCAGACUGCCGGUGACAAACCGGAGGAAGGUGGGGAUGACGUCAAAUCAUCAUGCCCCUUAUGGCCUGGGCUACACACGUACUACAAUGGCGCAUACAAAGAGCAGCGAACCCGUGAGGGCGAGCGAAUCUCGCAAAGUGCGUCUCAGUUCGGAUUGAAGUCUGCAACCCGACUUCAUGAAGUUGGAAUCGCUAGUAAUCGCGAAUCAGCAUGUCGCGGUGAAUACGUUCUCGGGCCUU